UACGUAGGGACCGAGCGUUGUCCGGAAUUAUUGGGCGUAAAGAGCUCGUAGGCGGUUUGUUGCGUCGGCUGUGAAAUCCCGAGGCUCAACCUCGGGUCUGCAGUCGAUACGAGCAAACUAGAGUGUUGCAGGGGAGACUGGAAUUUCUGGUGUAGCGGUGAAAUGCGCAGAUAUCAGGAGGAACACCGGUGGCGAAGGCGGGUCUCUGGGCAACAACUGACGCUGAGGAGCGAAAGCGUGGGGAGCGAACAGG
This 253-nucleotide ribosomal RNA is filed under the name uncultured bacterium. RNAcentral describes it as "partial 16S ribosomal RNA". It matches the Rfam family "Bacterial small subunit ribosomal RNA", at positions 524 to 776 of the family's 1533-position model. The record is from RNAcentral.